AGCAUGGGCUCAGGAUUCACCUGCAAGUGAGGGUGUCAGACCCAGGGAAAUGGAGCAGCCUCUUACACCAGUAUUGAUCUGGAGCAACAGGUUCCUUCAGAAAUGUCUGUAAGUCAGAGCUGCCCGAGAACAUUGCAGAGCUGAGGCUUCCAAAAGCUUCAAAAUCUGUUUAUAAAUUACAUAAAUCUCUUUAUAAAUUUAUAAAUCAUAAAUGUAUGAAUUUACAGGGGUUUCCUGUAAAUUUAACUGACCUUUUUUUUCUUUAAAAUUAGGGGAUGUUCACAAGGCUGUGCACAAAAUAAGUCUGAAAAUUGUGGCUACUUCAAAUGAAAGUACAUGGAGAUAAUGUCUCAGUGUGGAGGUGGUGCCCUGAACACUGUUCUGGACAGUUCCUGCUCUCUCUCCAUGGAGGAUUUUGGCUGCUGUGCUUAAGAGCAAGUGGAGCUGCUUUGCUGCUUCAUUCCAAGUUUUCAUAUGACAAUGAAAAAAUGUUUUGGAUGAUCACAUUCUCUGGUGGGGCCUUUCCCUCAUUUGUGUUGUUAACCAACAUUAAGAUCUGCAUUUUCAUGCCAGCAAAGUCUCCACAGGUUGUGGUGGCCUUGGCUGUCAGAGUGUGGGGGUUUGCUGGCAAUAAUUUCUGUUCCAAGCCAAAAAAAGCACUCACGGAAGGAGGAGGCUGCACCCUGAAAUCUCCUGAGAUCUACAUGUGCCAGGGCCAGUGCUGGUGUGUGAAGAACCAUCCUCAGUGUCUGAAGAGGGCACAGGGACACUCUCACCACUAAUAAAGGGUUCUUUGGAAACCUCUCAACACAGCUGGAGUGCCAAAAUUACUUAAAGUGCUCCCAAAGCCCACUUAUGGGGCUGGAACUGAGCUGAGAGCAGCUCCUGAUUUCUCCACAGUACGUGGGAGUUGUUCCAUCCCAUCACUUUUAAUGACUUCAGAGUAAAAGGAAAGUUAUUUCAAAGGGAGUAAAACAUUUUCACUUCCACCAGUGAAAAACGUCCCCCCAAGGUCUAAUCCAUGGUUUGAAUGAACUCUCUAGACCAGAGCUGCUUGAGGUGUCUGCUGGGAGAGGGGCAGGGGAGCAGCUUUGGGUGGGAGCAGCUGAGCUUUGGUCACAAAGCUGUUCUUGCUGUUGCCUUCUGUUUAACUUCAGUGUGUGCUGUUAUGUAAUGGAAAGAGAAAAACACAUCUGAAAGCAGCAAAUAGGAAAGGUAAGGAUGCAUUAAAAUUAUACCAGAUAAGCACUGUGCAGGAGGAGGAGACCCUGGGCCAGAGACUGUCACCUCUGAGGAGGUUAAACCUGAGCUACUGACGGGAGCGCAACGCUCUGUUUCUGUUCUUCAGUGGCAGAGGUAUUUGUUUAUUUUGGACCUGGACUAACAAUUAAAUAAGCUUUUCUAGUUUUUCUCAGAGUCAGUUUUUCAGGCCUUUUUAAUUAAUGUGUAUUUGUCUAAAGGUGCCAAAGCCAGGAAGGAUCUGCAGUGCCAAAGCACCUUUCUUAUUUCCCUGGCUUGAGGUGUAGAGGCAGCAGAGCGAGCCUGUCUGCCCUGCUUAGGCUGAUCUAAGCAGGAGCCUGAAUUCAGCUGACACACAGAUGACACCCCCAG
Molecule: long non-coding RNA, 1611 nt
Organism: Zonotrichia albicollis (white-throated sparrow)
Lineage: Eukaryota; Metazoa; Chordata; Aves; Passeriformes; Passerellidae
Source: Ensembl